UCUUCCGUGGCGCAAUUGGCUAGCGCGUUCGACUGUUAAUUUGUCAGAUUGCAGUCCAUCGAGAGGUUCCUGGUUCAAGCCCAGGCGGAAGAG
Molecule: transfer RNA, 93 nt
Organism: Aureobasidium subglaciale EXF-2481
Lineage: Eukaryota; Fungi; Ascomycota; Dothideomycetes; Dothideales; Saccotheciaceae
Rfam family: tRNA
About the family: Transfer RNA (tRNA) molecules are approximately 80 nucleotides in length. Their secondary structure includes four short double-helical elements and three loops (D, anti-codon, and T loops).
Source: Rfam